Small nucleolar RNA from Eutrema salsugineum, 96 nucleotides. It matches the Rfam family "Small nucleolar RNA R64/Z200 family". From Rfam's summary of the family: This family of plant small nucleolar RNAs belong to the C/D class of snoRNA which contain the C (UGAUGA) and D (CUGA) box motifs. This family includes Arabidopsis thaliana snoRNA R64 and Oryza sativa snoRNAs Z200 and J16. The record is from Rfam. Lineage: Eukaryota; Viridiplantae; Streptophyta; Magnoliopsida; Brassicales; Brassicaceae.
UUUCUGCAAUGAUGAUUUUAUGAAAAAUUCACAUGUCAGACUUCGGAGAUUCUUGUAUAGAAUCAGUGAGAAGAAAUUCAUAUCUCUGAGCAGAAU